RNAcentral lists this ribosomal RNA (482 nucleotides) under uncultured Flavobacteriaceae bacterium. RNAcentral's name for it is "bacterial SSU rRNA". It matches the Rfam family "Bacterial small subunit ribosomal RNA", at positions 28 to 505 of the family's 1533-position model. The record is from RNAcentral. Lineage: Bacteria; Pseudomonadati; Bacteroidota; Flavobacteriia; Flavobacteriales; Flavobacteriaceae.
GAUGAACGCUAGCGGCAGGCUUAACACAUGCAAGUCGAGGGGUAACAGGGGUGCUUGCACCCGCUGACGACCGGCGCACGGGUGCGUAACGCGUAUAGAACCUACCUUUUACAGGGGGAUAGGCUUUAGAAAUGAAGAUUAAUACCUCAUAGUAUUGAUAAUCGGCAUCGGUUAUUAAUUAAAGAUUUAUCGGUAAAAGAUGGCUAUGCGUCCUAUUAGCUAGAUGGUUUGGUAACGGCAUACCAUGGCAACGAUAGGUAGGGGUCCUGAGAGGGAGAUCCCCCACACUGGUACUGAGACACGGACCAGACUCCUACGGGAGGCAGCAGUGAGGAAUAUUGGGCAAUGGAGGCAACUCUGACCCAGCCAUGCCGCGUGCAGGAAGAAGGUUCUAUGGAUCGUAAACUGCUUUUAUACAGGAAGAAACCUUGGUACGUGUACCAAGCUGACGGUACUGUAAGAAUAAGCACCGGCUAACUCCG